Molecule: ribosomal RNA, 451 nt
Filed under: uncultured marine bacterium
Lineage: Bacteria
Description: bacterial SSU rRNA
Rfam family: Bacterial small subunit ribosomal RNA
Source: RNAcentral
AAUCUUGGACAAUGGGUGCAAGCUUGAUCCAGCCAUGAUCGCGUGUGUGAAGAAGGCAUGAGGGUUGUAAAGCACUUUCAGCGAGGAGGAAGGGUUCGUGGUUAAUAGCCAUUAAUUUUGACGUUACUCGCAGAAGAAGCACCGCCUAACUCCGUGCCAGCAGCCGAGGUAAUAUGAAGGGUGCAAGCGUUAAUUGGAAUUAAUGGGCGUAGAGCGCAGGUAGGCGGUUUGUUAAGUUGGAUGUGAAAGCCCCGGGCUCAACCUGGGAAUUGCAUUCAAGACUGGCAAGCUAGAGUAUGUGAGAGGGGGGUAGAAUUCCAAGUGUAGCGGUGAAAUGCGUAGAGAUUUGGAGGAAUACCAGUGGGGAAGGCGGCCCCCUGGCACAAUACUGACGGUCAGGUGGGAAAGCAUGCGAGCAAACAGGAUUAGAUACCUAGGUUUCCGUGCAGUC